UUUAUUUCAUAGGCUCCUGGGAACCCUUGAAUUAUGUUUCCGGCUGCUAUAAAGUGUGUGAAGUUGUACAUUUUCAGAAUGAUGGCUAAUGACCUACCAAGGUUUCCGGAAUAUAAAUGACUGCUUUUCGUUGUUACUAACCAAAGGCCCUGACCUCAACAACCUCUUAGAAGCAUUCAUUUUGCAGUUCCCGUAAGGUAAACCCAAGAAGCUGCACUGACUGGAUACUCAUUAAAAUCAAGUUAAUCUGACCCAUGAGUACCACUCCACAGUUCGAUUUACAUAGGCUGUCACCUGUAGAUCCACACGACAUGAACAGAAUCCCAAAAGCUUAACUUCCAUAGAACCGCCAUCUUACCUUGUUUGAAAUCUCAGCAGUGGUCUUGUUUGGAAAGGGAAAACACAGUAAUUCUGCAGUUUUGUGAGAAUGACCUUAACUAAGCUUUGAUAUGACAGCCAUAGAAUGAAAUGCAGAGCUGAUUAAUUUUUGUACUAAUUCAUCCUCCGCUACUCCCACUCUCCAUUGUAAACCUGCUUACCCAUGAAACUCCAGCAGUAGGUUUUUUAUAACCUUUCCUGGUUUUUCCAUUCAUGUUAUAUGUGAUUUAUAUCCAUAUUUGACACUGUAGAUAGAUGCCUGGGACCCAAGAAGGGAAUGGCGUUCUGUAAGAAGAAGUCAGGCCCUUGACUGACUUUAUCCACAGGAGAAGAUGAAUUAGGUAAAUGUGGUGUUUCCUUCUAUACUUUAAAAUCAGUGAUGUCAUAAUGGAUUUCUUUGUAUACACGUUACAUAAUAAAUUUAUACUUUUUGCCUUCCUAAAA
RNAcentral lists this long non-coding RNA (822 nucleotides) under Rattus norvegicus (Norway rat). RNAcentral's name for it is "long non-coding RNA NONRATT017824". The record is from RNAcentral. Lineage: Eukaryota; Metazoa; Chordata; Mammalia; Rodentia; Muridae.